RNAcentral lists this ribosomal RNA (460 nucleotides) under uncultured bacterium. Its description in RNAcentral is "partial 16S ribosomal RNA". It matches the Rfam family "Bacterial small subunit ribosomal RNA", at positions 338 to 795 of the family's 1533-position model. The record is from RNAcentral.
CCUACGGGUGGCAGCAGUGAGGAAUAUUGGUCAAUGGACGAGAGUCUGAACCAGCCAAGUAGCGUGAAGGAUGACUGCCCUAUGGGUUGUAAACUUCUUUUAUAUGGGAAUAAAAUGUUCCACGUGUGGGUUUUUGUAUGUACCAUAUGAAUAAGGAUCGGCUAACUCCGUGCCAGCAGCCGCGGUAAUACGGAGGAUCCGAGCGUUAUCCGGAUUUAUUGGGUUUAAAGGGAGCGUAGGUGGAUUGUUAAGUCAGUUGUGAAAGUUUGCGGCUCAACCGUAGAAUUGCAGUGGAAACUGGCAGUCUUGUGUACAGUAGAGGUGGGCGGAAUUCGUGGUGUAGCGGUGAAAUGCUUAGAUAUCACGAAGAACUCCGAUUGCGAAGGCAGCUCACUGGACUGCAACUGACACUGAGGCUCGAAAGUGUGGGUAUCAAACAGGAUUAGAUACCCCUGUAGUC